RNAcentral lists this long non-coding RNA (250 nucleotides) under Mytilus galloprovincialis (Mediterranean mussel). The record is from RNAcentral. Lineage: Eukaryota; Metazoa; Mollusca; Bivalvia; Mytilida; Mytilidae.
AAAAAAACAUCGCAUUUCUCUAUACCUGUUUAAUUUUCAAUCCAACCAGAGCAAUGUCUGAAAACGUUUUUCAAUAUCAUUGACCAGUUCAAGAUCCAAAACCAAAACAUGCGAUAAUACAAAAUUCUAUGUCAGAGUAAGGCACGAACAAUUCCGUAGAUUGACGACCGUUACUCCAAAAUACCCCUCGGAUUAGCCAUCUGUUUAAAUAUUGCUAUCAAAAUGAACUCCAUCUCUUUAUAAACCCGAA